UUAUUUAAUUUUAAAUAAUAAUUUAAUGUUUUUGGUUAUUUAGUAUUUAAAAGAAUUUUUUAUAAAAAAUUACUGUAAGGGAGGGUGAAAUAUAAUAAUUUUAAAAAUUAAAAAUCAGUAUUAUUACCUUUUGUAUUAGUGUUUAUUUAAUUUUUAUAAUUAUAUUGAAUUUUUACGAAAAAUUCAGAGCUAUUGUAUUAUAUUUUUUAUUGUUGAAUAAAUUAAUUGUUGAAUUAUAUAAUAGGGGUGACAGGCUAUACAUUUUAUUUUAUAUCUAAUUGUAUAAUUAAAAGUUUAGCUUUUAUUAUUUUUGUAAUUUUAUUUAACCUAUAUUAUUUUUGUCAUUUUAUUUAACUAUAUUUUUAUAGAAAUAAUUUAUUAAUUGGGGGUUUAUCUCUUAUUUUAUAUUAAAGUAUAAAUUCAUUUUAUAAAAUAAUAUAAACAAUAGGCCUAUAAAUAGCUAUUUAUUUUAGUUAGUUAUAUUUUAUUACAAAAUAAUAUUAUUUAAUUUUUAUUUUAUUAGUUAAUUUCUGUAUUAUAAAAUCAGUUUAAUAAUAUAAAUAAUGAUAAAAUUAGUAGUAAUUUUCUAAUAAAUUAAAAAAUUAAAAUUAAAAUUAAAUAAAUUCGGCAAAAAAAUUUCGGCUGUUUAACAAAAACAUUUCUUUUUGGUCUUAUAAUAAGUAAAGUCUGCCCACUGAUAAAUUUGAAGGGCCGCGGUAUUUUGACCGUGCAAAGGUAGCAUAAUCAUUAGUCUCUUAAUUAGAGAAUGGUAUGAAUGGCUAAACGUAGUUUUUCUUUAUUGUAUUUUUAGUAUGAAUUUGAAUUUAAAGUGAAAAUGCUUUAAUUAGUUAGGGGACGAUAAGACCCUAUAGAAUUUUAUUUAAUUAUUUAUUUUAUAUUAUUAGUUUAAUUUAAUUAUAUUAACUUAAAUUUAGUUGGGGCAAUUUUAGAAUAAAUUAAACUUCUUAAAUGUAUUAUUUUAUUAAAUUAAGUAACUUUUAAUAAAAAUUUAAUAACAAAUUACCUUAGGGAUAACAGCGUAAUUGAUUUAAAGAGCUCUUAUCGAUAAAUUAGUUUGCGACCUCGAUGUUGAAUUAAAAAUUUUUUAUAAAGCAGCUUUUAUAAAGUUAUAGUCUGUUCGACUAUUAAAUUUUUACAUGAUUUGAGUUCAAACCGGUGUGAGCCAGGUUGGUUUCUAUCUUUAAUAUAAAUAUUAUAUUUUUAGUACGAAAGGACCAUAUUAUUUUAAAACAAUUAAUU
RNAcentral lists this ribosomal RNA (1260 nucleotides) under Folsomotoma octooculata. Its description in RNAcentral is "16S ribosomal RNA". The stretch from base 1031 to 1190 matches the Rfam family "Archaeal large subunit ribosomal RNA", at positions 2544 to 2703 of the family's 2987-position model. Lineage: Eukaryota; Metazoa; Arthropoda; Collembola; Entomobryomorpha; Isotomidae. The record is from RNAcentral.